RNAcentral lists this long non-coding RNA (2642 nucleotides) under Homo sapiens (human). Its description in RNAcentral is "novel transcript". The record is from RNAcentral. Lineage: Eukaryota; Metazoa; Chordata; Mammalia; Primates; Hominidae.
GAAUGUGGUGGAAGUGAUGAUAUACCAGUUACAGACACACUUUUUAAGAGGAUUGCAGCAUCCAGGUCCCCCUCUAAGGUUUCUCAUUCUUGGAACAAUUCUUGGAACUCACCCAUCAUACUGUGAGAAACCCAAGCCACAUGUAUAGGACACAUGUUGAUGAUCCAAUUGACAGUCUCAAGCGAACUCUUUGCCAAUAACCAGCAUCAAAUGCUGCCAGGUAAAUGGGAAAUCUUGGCUGUCCCAGCACAAUUGAGCCCAUAGAUGAUGCAGCCAAAUCCAAUUUAUAAGAAACAAGCAACCCCAUUUAGUCCAGUCAACACUAAAAAUAGCGUGAAAUAAUGAAAUAGUUAAGCCAGUAACUUUUGGAGUGGUUUGUUAUAAAAUAAUAGAUAAUUAAAAUAGGAGUCAGCUGUGUAUAGAGGUUAAUGAAGCCAUGAGAUGGUUAAGACAAUCAAUAUGUGACAUGAAAGAAAAAAGGCUAUCUUAGUCUGUUUUCUGUUACCUGAAUUCCAUAAACUGAGUAAUUUAUAAAGAAAAUAAAUGUAUUUAUUUCUUACAGUUCUAGAGGCUGAUAAGUCCAAGCAUAUGGUGCCAGCAUCUGGUGAGGCCUUCUUGCUGUGUAAUCUCAUGGCAGAAGAGUGGAAGGACAAGUGAGCACAUGCAAAAGGGAUUGUACAAGACUUAUCUUUUAGUCUCCAGAGGCAGAAAAAAAGCAGAAAAGGUUGUUGAAAUUCUUCACAUUGAUUUCAGGGCAAUGAUCUCAAACGGCGCAGUGGGAACCCGCAAAUUUAAGAGGGUAGUUUCCCUGCACAAGCCCUUUUUUUGCCUGCUGCCAUCCGUGUAAGAUGUGACUUGCUCCUCCUUGUCUUCUACCAUGAUUGUGAGGCCUCCCCAGUUAUGUGGAACUCAAAGCUAGAGGAAACCAAAGUCAUAGAACAUCUGAACUCUGUCCAAACAUCGGUCGUAUUUCAAAAUUUCAGUAGCCACCAUCCCGCAGCCAACGAUAAUAUCUGACACUUCCUGACAUCAUGAAAGCCACCAUCUGUCUAUCACCAAAACCCUGUACUUUUUAAAGACUACUUGGCUUGAUCCUUAAUGAAGCUUCAAGUUGAAUGCACAGAUCGCUUUAGAAGGAAUACAAGGAAUAAUUGACACAAGAGAUCUCCUGGAAAAAGCCUUAUACCUAAUAUUCUUGUUUGGAGGAAGAAACUGGGAAAAACAUCUGUCAUCUCCUCACCAGACCGAGUCUCGUUCUGUAGUCCAGGCUGGAGUGCAGUGGCGGGAUCUCCACUCACUGCAAGCUCCACCUCCCAGGUUAAAGCCAUUCUCCUGCCUCAGCCUCCUGAGUAGCUGAGACUACAGGCACUCACCACCACACCCGGCUUAUUUUUUGUAUUUUUAGUAGAGACGGGGUUUCACCGUGUUAGCCAGGAUGGUCUCGAUCUCCUGACCUCGUGAUCUGCCUGCCUCGGCCUCCCAAAGUGCUGGUAUUACAGGCGUGAGCCACCACGCCAGGCCACAAUCUUUCAUUUUUAUAAUAAAUCAUUCAUGUGUAAUUGGUUUUAUUCUGAUCAUGAUGCUGAAACUAAAUGUUUUGGUCUUGGGUGAUAAUGGAAGCUUAAAGGUAAUAUCAACUACAAAGAGAGUUUUUAAAUGUUUGGCCUGAAUAUUAUCAGCUUAAAAUUUGCACUAUUCUAUACCUGUUUCCCUUACAUAUCAAUUACUACUAUAUCACAUUUCAUUGGGUAGGAAUAAUAAAUAUUUUCAUUAAAUUACUUUAAGAGAUCAUCAAUUAAUAUACAUUUUCUAAUAAUUAUUAACAUAAACACUUUAAGAUGUAUUUUAAUGCAAACUAAAGAGAUUUAGAUACAUUCUGAGUCACAGAAUAAUAUCAAGAAGCAUAAUUUUAUGUCAAUCCCCACAAAUCAUAUAGCCUUAAAGAUGACUUUUUAAAUUUGUGAUUUUUUUUUCUUUUAGUUCUGCAGGAUUUUUUUUUUGUUCUUAUUGUUGUUAACAAGGAAUAACAUCUCUUUUCAUAAUUAUAGCAACAAAGUUUAGUUAAACAAAUUCAUCAGAUUUUAGUAAAUGAUAGCAUUCUAACUCUCAAAACAGUUAUACCUAAAUAUAUUUGGUACAUGUUGUAAAACUAUAUUUAUUGUCUCAAGAGAAAAUGAAAUCUGGUUAUUAAGAUAUAUCAAGACUCUCCACUUUUUAAAUUAAGAAUAAAUCAAUUAUUGCUGGUGGAAUUUCCAAAACUAAUACUUCACCCAUCAGCCUAAUUAGUAAUUAAAUAUAUCAAUAGCAUUGAAAAGAAGAGUGGCAUAUUAGUUAAGAUGCAUGAACUAUAUAAAGGUACAAUUCUCUUUUUAAAUGCACAUAUCCCAACAAAAUUUCUUUCACAAUAUGGCUAUAAAAUCAUAUGGUGAUUAACAACUGUAAAACUAGACAAAAUUUUUUCACUGUUUUCAGAAUAUAUUACUCCUUUUGGUAAACUGCUGUGGAAAAAAAAGUGCAGCUGUUACAUACACAAAGUUAUCUCCCAUUGGCUAUGAGAAUUAUCUAAAUGUUGCUAGCUUUCAUUUGCUCUUGUCAUUUGCAAAUGUGCCAAGUCGACUAGCCUUUCUAUUAAAAUAAAGACU